Long non-coding RNA from Orcinus orca (killer whale), 6476 nucleotides. RefSeq lists it as uncharacterized. The transcript has 2 exons. Lineage: Eukaryota; Metazoa; Chordata; Mammalia; Artiodactyla; Delphinidae. The record is from RefSeq and is a predicted model, not a curated record.
CGGGGCGCUGGGCGGACCCUGGCGGCCUCCCCGGCGGCGGCGGCGGCGGCGGUGGGAGCUGCCGGAGCUUCGGGGAGGAGGCUGUUUCCUGGAGGGGGCGCACACUCCCCUGAGAUCGCCCUUUACCGACCUGAAGCCUUUUCUCUUCUUGUCUUUCAGCCCGGGAAGUGGGGUACCUCUCUAUCCUACCCCAAGGGGAUGCCCGUGGCAUGAGAAGCCCCCAGCCCGUAGCUCCGGGUAGUCCUCACCUUGCCCAUUUCUAACCCCACGGAACCCCUAAUCCCAAGGAACCCCGGACCCCUUUCCGCAAGAAGUUCUUUCCUUUCAUCCAUCCCCAGGAGUUCCCCGUUUACGCUCUUUCUGAGCCUCCUUCGCCCCUAAGGCCAUGUCCCAGGUCCGCCUCUCACUCCGUAACCCGAGGAGUCCCCUAGCCGCUACCCUGGGGGCCCAGCCCCUCCUCUCCAACUGCUUCCUCUGCAGGCCUCACCGUCGCCUCCUGAAUAGCUUUACGCUCCUUGAGACCCUCAUCUUCGUGGGGCGGGAGACCCUCCUUCCUUGGGUCACCCGGUCCACCAGACUCUAUUCCUCUGAGCGGCGUGGAGGAAGAGGUAAAGAGGGCACCUCUGGAUUUCAUGACCAGACGUCACAUCUUGUAGGUCUGAUUACAAUGAAGACCCGGGAAACAAGGCAUUCUCUCACUGGGAUUGCUGUGAAGAGCUGCACCUCAGGUAUCACAGGGCUAGUGGGGAGUAACCUAUUGAAUCAUGAACGCUGCCAAUCUAGCUGGAGCCAGAGUGUGCGAAGAUAACUCACUUUUUAUUGAGUGCUCAUUAUGUGUUCUAAAUUCUCCAUGUUCCAAGUUCCUAGCUAGGGUAUUAAUCCUUCUCUAGCCUCUAACCCUCCUGUACUCACCUCAGCUCGUUCUUCCUAUUCCCAAUUGCUCACUGUGGGGAAUAUCUAGGAUACCUGUUGAAGAUGUUCUCUUUGUAUUUUAUUUCUUGCACAGCCACAUCUCCAAGAAGGUUCCCCAGGGGGCAGGGGGGUUCAAAGGUAAUUCACAGAGCUUUUUACACAUUUACACUUUGGAGUUUCCCACCUUCCUAUCAUUGCUUAUGCUGUUUUUUCCAUUCAUGCUGUUUUUCCCUCACCACUUCCUUCCCCCUGGCCCCCACACCAUUAUUAUUUUCCAUCCUCCCCGUCUUUUUACCCCUCCUCUUUGAGGUUCUUGAUUACAACAGCUAGAACUUACCACCACCAUCCACUAGGUUGAAUGCAAGGCAUCUCCUUUGACACGCUUCUGCAAAAAUUAAUUAAAAUAAAAUAAAACAAGUUACAUUAUUCUACCUCCUAAAUAGUCUCAACUGUGUCCACUUUUCUCAGAGGUGAGUGCAGGCUGGACCCACCACUUGCUGAAGGUAGGGGUACUUUUGAGGACCACAUGAGUUGAUGUAUAUAUAAAGCUUCACUAAAGCAUCCACACUACCCCGGUUUAAGGUAGCCGGGGACCUUAAACCCUUCCAUGGUGGCUUUUUGUAUUUCAUGACCUGGUCCCUUUUUUUCUCCUCACUUUUUCAUAUUCACUACAUUUCAUCCACUGGUAUUCUGUUAGUUCCUGGUGGCAUAUAGUAUUUUUCUGUGUUCAUGCUGCUCUCUGCCUGAAAUAAUCUUUCUCAUCCUUACCUUCUUCUCAGUCUCCACUUAAAUGUUGGUUCUCCUGGGAAGUCUUCUCUAACCACCUGUCUCCCACCAUAUCCUAUUCUCUAAUCUUUCUAUGUGAAAUCCUUCUUCCCCCAUAGAAUAUACACUCUUGGCACAUAUAAGCCACUCCAAAAAAACCUUUUUGCGUACAUGGGUGUUUUUUAACAUAGUCAUGUGUACAUGCUUUAAUCUUCACUCAGACUGGACUGUAAGCUUCUUGAGAGUAAGGACUGUGUAUUUUAUUUGUUUGUACCUCCUCUUCUAGGCCUUAGACAUAGAUGUGAUAAAAAAAAAAUGUACUGAAUGAAUAGAAUCUAAUAGGUUCUGUACUGGACUUCCUACCAAAUCCCAUUUUGCACACACUCUCAAAUUUAAAUAUCUGAAGAGCCAAGACCAAAAUUGACCAGCAGAGGGCAACCGACGACUAUGUUGUGAAGAGAAGAAGGCCCCCAUGGUUUACAAAAUGGAGGAUCUGGAUCCAGAAUAAACUGGCUGAGGUUGUUUGGUACUUGAGAUACUACUUUUCACUCUCAGAUGCUUGACUUGUAACUCUGGGGGUGAGAGGCCAAGACUUUGAACCUUCCUGUACAAUAGAUAAUUUCAAAUUGUAACCAUCCCCAUAGCCCACCACCCACACAAUUCCUUCACCCUUCCAUCCCAACAAAUCCUAUCUCUCUAUCCUUAUAUUUUUCUUUGUGUUGCAUAACCAGGCCCCCUUUCUCACUAUUCUUACAUAUUUACUACAUUCUACCCACUGGCAUUCUUCAUUUUCUGGUUCAGUAUUUGGCCUUGCUCUUCUGAGCUGAAGUUACCUUCUGCACCUUGGCUUGCAGUCCCACUCAUUUCAACCUCCUAAGGAAGCUUCCAUGAAUAUCCUUCCAUAACAAGUUAAAAUUCUCCUACUCUACUCAUUCAAUCCUUCAUUAAUUUAGGACAAACAAUACUAUACCUUCACUUGACACUUUCAAAUCACCAUGUUGUUUUCUACUCUUUUUUUUUUUUUUUUUUUAAAUAAAAUGUGUAUCCUCUGGGACUUCCCUGGUGGUCCAGUGGUUAAGACUCUGAGCUCCCAAUGCAGGGGGCCUGGGUUCGAUCCCUGGUCAGGGAACUAGAUUCCGCAUGCUGCAACUAAGACCCGGUGCAGCCAAAUAAAUUAAAAAGUAAAUAAAAUAAAAUAAAAUGUAUACCCUCUGCCUCCAGCUCCAUGCUAUCUUUAAUAGCCUGUGGUAGAAAACUUUGCUAUGUUUGAAACCAUUGAUUUCUUACUGGGCUUGAGAGACAUUGUACUUCCUUGCUUUUCUCUUAGAACACUGUUUCUUCAUCUCAUUUUCUCCCUUCUUCUGUGGAGUUUUACUAAAGCUUCAUUCUUUUCCCUCCUCGAGAAAGAGAAACCCCAAGCUACCAUUCCAGGCAUGGCCUCUCAGCCACACCAUCGUCCUAUAUCUCCAGCUGCCUAUAUGUCUGCACAGCUGACCUAAUGUCACCUAAAACAGCAGUCCCCAACCUUCUUGGCACCAGGGACCGGUUUCACGGAAGAUGGAAGAUGAUUCUUCCACGGACAGGGGUUGGGGGGGAUGGUUCAGGCGGCAGUGUGAGCCAUGGGGGGCGGCAGAUGAAGCUUCGCUGGCUCGCCCCGCCGCUCCCCUCCUGCUGUGCAGACCCUGACCGGUCUGAGGCCUGGGGGUUGGGGACUCCGACCUAAAACACAAACAAAACUUUUUCUUUCCCAGAAUCACAUUCUCAACUUUUUCCAUUUGUUAGUACUAUUCUCUCAAUUCCAUCUAUUUCCAACCUUAAGAAUUAUCAGACAUUUUCUAUUCUGCCAUGCCCAUCAUUCAUCAAUCAUUGCUUCCUCCAUCACAUCAUCUAUUUCAUGCUUGUGUUACAAUGGCCUUCCAGGUGCCCCAGUUUCACCACACUUAAAUCUCUAAAACACUGCUUUCUUCGUAUUAAUCCCGUCUAGGAAUUUCAGUGCCCUAUCUGUUCAAACACAUGCUCCUAUUAUCAAUAUGCCUUGCCUAAAUCACCCAUUUUUUAAAUCCUUAAUUCUUUCCAGUAAGAUACCCUAAUCUAAUCAGGCUGGGUGUCUCCACAUCACAGCCUAAUUCCUUCCUUCUGUCUCUUCACCUUAAAACCAAUGACUAGCUAAUGCCACCCUAUACUGAUUUUUUCAGCUACAAAUUCUUAGAUCUUAAUCCAAAUUGCUUUUAUGUGACUAAAAAGCUAGUGUGGGGAAAUCUAACACACAGGAACUUAUUAUCCCCUUGCAAGUUGUUGACUUGUUCCAAAUGUUAAGAGGCUUGGAUCUCUGAAGUUUAUCCAGUAAAGCAAAUCAUUAGAGGACUUGAGCUGAAAUGAUCUCAACCUACACUUAUUUCAGGAAUGCUCUCAUAGCACAAAACAUUUCUGGAACUCCUUCACAGCUAGUUUAUGAGCCACAUUUAAAUGAUUCAUUACUUCAAAAUUACUUUAAAAAAAAAAGCUGAGCACUAGCCACCUUUAUCAUGCAUCUGUUUUCCAGAUUCUGUUCCAGAUUACUUCUGGAAGUCCCUAAGGUCACAUUCUUCGCUUUCUUCGCGUUCACUCUAGUGGCUGUAUUCAUUCCUGGAAUUUCUUGAUCACCUUUGGGAAGAUAACUCCCAAAUCCACGUCUUUAACCCUAACUUCUUUCUCUUAAGCUGUAGACCCACAUUUCCUUUUUCUGGCUAACCCCCUCUUAUGGGGAAGCACUUCCAACCGAUUGUUCCCCAAAUGAGCUCAUUACUUCACCCCUGAAACCUGCUCAUCCUCUUCUCCUCCCUAUUCAGGUUAACGACACUGUCCUCUUAUUCACAGAUUAGAAACCUCUGUCUUUAUCUGUGACUCAUCUUUAGUUACAUGCCCCUUGUUAUGUGCACUGGUUGGGAGCCCAGGCUCUGGAAUGACUUUCUGGGUUCAAAUCCCAGUUCUUACUAUUAGCUACGUGAAUUUUGUACUUUGUCUCGGUUUCCCCACAUAGAAAAUGGACAUGAUAAUAGUCAUUUUUUAUAAAGCUGCUGGGAUGACUAGAUGUUUAAUAUUUAGUUCGUGACUCACGGUACGUGCUCAACCUGGCUGUUAGCCCCUUUCCUCAUUGCCAAUAUCUGAUCCUAUUUGGAACUCAGCUCCAAUGAUUCCUGAGAAAACUUCCCUCCUGCAUCCCACCAGGUAGACAGUUGACCCCUUUCCUCCUGUUGUCCCAUUGUACUUAAUUCCUACCUAUUAGCAAUAUGCUAUUCUGUAUUUCCCGUUAUUUGUUCAAGUGUACGUCACCUAAGCUUUAAAUUCCUUUCAAGGAAUAUACAAUUAUUUGUGUAUCUCAAAUGCCUAGGGCCACGUCUGGCACUUGACUGGCGGAGAGAAUCUGGUCAGUUACUAAGGCCUGUUGAUUUUUCUCCCCUCAUGUCUCUGUCCUCUUUCCUGGUCUGUUUCAAGUUCUAAUCCUCUCACAUGAAUUACUGCAAAGCUUACUAACAUUGUCACCAAAUUUUCAUUGUUUUCCCAUCGUCAUCAGAAUCAUGAAUUGGAAGUCACUCCUCUUCUCAAAAACCUACCUGUAAAACUAAAGUCCAAAUUCCCUGCCAUGUAUUCAAGGCCUACCAAGAAUUGUCCCUAAAUUAUCUUUAGUUUUACCUUCCAUUACUUCCUUCAACAAACUCUUUGCUUCAGAUUACACUAGUCUCUUCCCUCUUCAACAUGUCCUUCACCUUCACUUGUUUUUAUUCAUGGUAUUAUCUCAGCUUAAAAUAGAGAUUGCAAACUCUGGUCGACUCCCAGAGAGAUCAGUACCUUACCCAAGGUUACACAUCGCAGAGCUGUUGUCCUUGAUGUCUGGGCUCCUAGCCACUCCACUAUCUUGCCUUCACAUCUCCAGACCAAAACAUCUCCAAAUAUGGCCCACAGGGACCAGAAGCAUCAUGUGAAAAAUGCCAGUCUCUGAGUAUCGGGCCCACUAAGCCCCACUCCCAGGUGAUUCUGAUGAAGUAUAGAAUUAAUGACCUCUGCUCUAGAAAUGGAUCUUCCCUGACCACCAGAUCUAGGGCAGAAACCCUGCUUUGUGUCUGUCCUGACCCUUACCCCAGUUUGUAAUUACAUUAAUUACAGUUUGUAAUUACAUCUCCCCUUUUCCCAAUUUAUUUUUCUCCUAGGACUCAUGCUACCGAACAUAACAUGUUUUUCUUAUUAUCUUGUUUCUUGUCUGUCUCCUCAACCAGAGUUUUACAGCCAGGAGGGCAGGGGCUUUGGUUGUUUUGUCACAGCUGUAUGUAUCUCCAGCACACAGGACAGUGCCUGGAGCUCCCUAAGUAUGGGUUGAAUAAACUGAUGAGUAACUAAAAAAAAAAAAAAAAAAAACUCUGGUGGAUCCUAUGUUUUUGUUUUGUUUUAUUCUUUUUUUGGCCCACAUUAAAAAAGUAUAUAUUGAGCCAACAUUUAAAAGUUGUGACAUUUAGCAUAAACAUUAGGAUGUCCAAAAGUUCUUGAAAAAAUAAUAGGGGCAAUGUUGGGCCCCUGUUCUUGUAUAGCAGUGACCAAUCAGAGCUGCACUGCCAGCUGCCCAUUCGCUCAGGGCACAUAUUUGUCGCCUACCCAGUUUCAAAAAUCUCUCUCAACAAAUACAAGCGUACAGUGAAGAGAUUAGGCUAAUGGUGGGACAACUGGACCUAUGUCCUGAUGUUACACAACAUAAAGAACAUCUCUCCUGUGAUGUCUUUUAUCCCCAGAACUGGUUAAUUUGAAUCUCUCUGACUCUAGGGGAUUCC